Lates calcarifer (barramundi perch) is the source of this 950-nucleotide long non-coding RNA. RefSeq lists it as uncharacterized. The transcript is spliced from 5 exons. Lineage: Eukaryota; Metazoa; Chordata; Actinopteri; Centropomidae. The record is from RefSeq and is a predicted model, not a curated record.
AGAAGCACUGGAACAAUCCUUCUGUAUUUAUUUUGUUAGCAUGUAUCGUGUUGUUUUCUGUAGGUGAUGUUGAUAUGGAUAUGCACUUCACAUUAACCCAUGGUGUUAACGUUUUGGUUUUUGUUUUUUUUUUCAAAUUAUGAAUUUUUAACGGCAGCUUUACCGCCCUGAUAGUGGGUUUAAGGUUCCUAAAAUCACUUUUUACUUUACUUAUUUAAUGGUCUAUCGUUUUUCCAACCCAGUUUAGAUUAAACCACGCCCACUUCCGUAGAACGAAGCGGUUGCUGGGCGGAGCAGAGUCAGCCAACCAAUCGACGCUUUGUCUGUCGUCACUGGUCUGCGACGCGUGUCGGGACAUAGUCGGGAAGGACAGUGAAACUACGGAGAAAAACAUACGUUUGAGUGACCGCUUCGUUAGCACUGUGAGAAGCUUCAUUAACGGAACAAGUCUGGAAACCAAAACAAGCUUUGGAGCUGUUGUUGUUGUUGAACGCAGUGAGGCUGGACGCUGAACAAACCUGCGGUGCCACGGUCUACUGGUUCAGUUGCUGCAGCCUGGAUGAAAAUACCAGCUCUCACCAUACAGACCAAACAGGUGUCACCAUCGCUUCAUGAUCGCAGAGUCAUCGUACAAUAAAGAAGUUCUUCAAAUCCAGAAGAUCCCUUCAGGUUUCAUCUCUUGAUCCAUGAGUCCAGAGACCAGAGAAGAUCCAGGACAGUGAGGUGUCCAACCAGGACAAGAGAAUGGCAGCUCAAGUUUUGGACCUAAAGUGGAUCACAGAAAACAACACAAUAACACACAAUGCCACUGGGAGGUGCUUUGUCUUCUGUUCUGUAGGAGGAGAAGAUCUCCUUAUGUGUACUCAUCACUACAUUAAAAUGGUUAAACAUCUCUCAUUAUCUUUGCUGCAUUGUGUUAAAUAUUGUUUACAUCUGAAUCAAUAAAGUUU